RNAcentral lists this long non-coding RNA (271 nucleotides) under Lathyrus oleraceus (garden pea). RNAcentral's name for it is "Pisum sativum (pea) long non-coding RNA (PSAT_LNC002493)". The record is from RNAcentral. Lineage: Eukaryota; Viridiplantae; Streptophyta; Magnoliopsida; Fabales; Fabaceae.
UUGUCUCAGGCUAUACAUAACCCUGCUUUUAGAUACUUCCAGAUGAUACUGGCACAUUCCUUCCUAGGAAGACCGGAUGCUGAGACAUUACUGAGUGAGGAGGAGAUCUUCCUACUAUUUUGUGCAUCCUAGUCUCGCCCAGUAGCAUGUGGGAACUUUUUGUUAUGUGGCCUCAGCGGUGUUUCCAGACCGUCUGAAGGAGUCAUUCAUGUAGGAGGGAUCAUCACACAGAUCGCCAUCGCCCUAGGUCUAUCUCGCAAGCUAUUACAUC